ACACGACUACAUUAGAUACCCGCGUAGUCCUAGCCGUAAACGAUACUCGCUAGGUGUCGGCCACGGUGCGACCGUUGUCGGUGCCGUAGGGAAGCCGUGAAGCGAGCCACCUGGGAAGUACGGCCGCAAGGCUGAAACUUAAAGGAAUUGCGGGGAGCACAACAACGGGUGGAGCUUGCGGUUUAAUUGGAUUCAACGCCGGAAAUCUUACCGGGACCGACAGCAACAUGAAGGCCAAGCUGAAGACUUUGCCGGAUUAGCUG
Molecule: ribosomal RNA, 263 nt
Filed under: uncultured archaeon
Lineage: Archaea
Description: partial 16S ribosomal RNA
Rfam family: Archaeal small subunit ribosomal RNA
Source: RNAcentral